RNAcentral lists this long non-coding RNA (971 nucleotides) under Nicotiana benthamiana. RNAcentral's name for it is "long non-coding RNA (NBEN_LNC024106)". The record is from RNAcentral. Lineage: Eukaryota; Viridiplantae; Streptophyta; Magnoliopsida; Solanales; Solanaceae.
UUGAUAUGAUAACUUGUCUAGAGACUAGGGUAAAACAGCAGAAUGCAAUGGCAGUUUAUAAAAAACUGGGAGAUGACUGGACUGUAGGGAAUAACUAUUUACAUGCCCCCAAUGGCAGAAUAUGGGUACUGUGGAAAGAAGCAAAUGUCCAAGUGACAAUACUGGAGAGCACUGAUCAGACAAUUCAGUGUCAAGUAAAGGACAGACAUUUAACAUUCACUAGCUUUGUCACAUUUGUAUAUGGUCUUCACACCACUCAACAAAGGGCAACACUCUGGAGGAGCUUAAGAGCUGUUCAGCAAACUGGGCCUUGGCUAAUAGUAGGAUGUAGGGAAUAACUAUUUAUAUGCCACCAAUGGCAGAAUAUGGGUACUGUGGAAAGAAGCAAAUGUCCAAGUGAAAAUACUGGAGAGCACUGAUCAGACAAUUCACUGUCAAGUAAAGGACAGACAUUCAACAUUCACUAGCUUUGUCACAUUUGUAUAUGGUCUUCACACCACUCAACAAAGGGCAACACUCUGGAGGAGCUUGAGAGCUGUUCAGCAAACUGGGCCUUGGCUAAUAGUAGGGGAUUUCAAUAGUCCUUUGGGAGUUGAAGACAGAAUCAAUGGACAGCCAGUACACCAUUCUGAAAUUGCAGACUUUCAAGGGUGUAUUGAUGACAUAGGAGUAGGGCAGAUUACCAAAAGGGGAAACUCUUUCUUAUGGAGUAAUAAAAGGGAUGCUACUGACAGAAUAUAUAGCCACAUUGAUUGGGCUUUUGGCAAUGCCAAUGGUUUAACAUGUACACAGGAGUGGAAGCAGUUUAUAUGCUGCCCACAAUCUCAGAUCACACCCCAAUUUUGAUAGAGACUGACAUUGUUAAAGCUAAAGUGAAGAGACCAUAUAGGCUGCUGCACACAGUUAUGUAACAAACUGAGUACCAGGAAAUAGUUCAGAGAAUUUGGGAUCAACACAUACAGGGACACACC